GAGGUGGAAGCGUGGUGACACGUGGAGCUGACAAAUACUAAUAGAUCGAGGACUUAACUAAA
RNAcentral lists this ribosomal RNA (62 nucleotides) under Brucella melitensis. RNAcentral's name for it is "partial 23S ribosomal RNA". The record is from RNAcentral. Lineage: Bacteria; Pseudomonadati; Pseudomonadota; Alphaproteobacteria; Hyphomicrobiales; Brucellaceae.